UACGUAGGGUGCAAGCGUUGUCCGGAAUUAUUGGGCGUAAAGAGCUCGUAGGCGGUCUGUCGCGUCUGCUGUGAAAACCUAGGGCUUAACCCUGGGCCUGCAGUGGGUACGGGCAGACUAGAGUGCGGUAGGGGAGACUGGAAUUCCUGGUGUAGCGGUGAAAUGCGCAGAUAUCAGGAGGAACACCGGUGGCGAAGGCGGGUCUCUGGGCCGUAACUGACGCUGAGGAGCGAAAGCAUGGGUAGCGAAC
Molecule: ribosomal RNA, 250 nt
Filed under: uncultured bacterium
Lineage: Bacteria
Description: partial 16S ribosomal RNA
Rfam family: Bacterial small subunit ribosomal RNA
Source: RNAcentral